This is a non-coding RNA of Caenorhabditis remanei, 90 nucleotides long. NCBI's taxonomy places the organism in Eukaryota, Metazoa, Nematoda, Chromadorea, Rhabditida, Rhabditidae. The record is from Rfam.
GCGGUGGUGGCCGAGUGGUUAAGGCGUGGAAUUUGCCAAUUCCAUUCCGGUUCAACCCCCGGAUCGUGGGUUCGAAUCCCACCCACCGCG